This is an RNA transcript of Phoenix dactylifera (date palm), 1592 nucleotides long. It is a transcript of the gene named vesicle-associated membrane protein 714, with no coding region annotated. NCBI's taxonomy places the organism in Eukaryota, Viridiplantae, Streptophyta, Magnoliopsida, Arecales, Arecaceae. The record is from RefSeq and is a predicted model, not a curated record.
CCCUCAAGUGAAAAACCGAGUGCGGGGCCCCUCUGUGUGUUGACUGGGGAAGGGCGGGUAUCACGCUUCCUUUCUCUUCGGCGGGCCAUCCUCGCCACCAAAACCCUAAGAACCGGGCCAGAAAGGGUCGAGAAAGAGAGGGAGAGGCCCCUUCCUCCCGCCAUGGCGAUCCUCUACGCCGUAGUUGCGAGGGGGACGGUGAUCCUUUCGGAAUUCGCCGCCGUGACGGGCAAUACUGGUGCCGUGGCCCGGCGGAUCCUCGAGAAGCUCCCCCCGGACUCCGACUCCAGGCUCUGCCUCUCCCAGGACCGCUACAUCUUCCACGUCCUCCGAUCCGAUGGCCUCACCUUCCUCUGCAUGGCCAACGAUACCUUCGGAAGGAGGGUUCCAUUUUUAUACUUGGAGGAUAUCCACAUGAGGUUCAUGAAAAAUUAUGGCCGAGUUGCUCAUUCUGCAUUAGCUUAUGCGAUGAAUGAUGAGUUCUCCAGAGUGCUACACCAGCAGAUGGAGUUCUUUUCCAGUAACCCAAGCGCAGAUACGCUUAACCGUGUACGAGGUGAAAUCAGCGAGGUACACACUAUCAUGGUCGAAAAUAUAGAGAAGAUAUUGGACAGAGGAGAUCGAAUUGCACUUCUUGUUGACAAAACUGCUACAAUGCAAGAUAGUUCCUUUCAUUUUAGGAAGCAAUCCAGGCGCCUUCGCCGAGCACUUUGGAUGAAAAAUGCAAAGCUUUUUUUUCGCAGUGUGAUUGGUGAUACUACUAUUUUGGCUCUGGGGACUCCAAGCUUCAGAGUCACAACCUCCUAAAACAGAGUGGUGUUUGGCUAAGCAUAUCCUUAAAACUAAGGCCUUCAACAUGCUGCUGUCUUAGAAGUGUUGAAGCAGUAGCCUAGCUGCAAUUCACUUUCAGUUGUUUGGAUCUGUCUCUGUUUGUGAGGGGUAUUGGGGAUGCUUUUUAUCACUGAACCAACUGGCAAUGCCAUAUCAAUUCAAAUGAUUUAUUCUUUGUUUCAACCCCAAGUGUUGAUUUUGCCAUGGGUAGGUGUCAUUCAAUUAAGGUGUCAUACUUUUCAUUGACUACCAACUGGAAAUGGUGAAGCAUGAAUGCCAAUAAUAAUCCACCACUCUGCACUCUAGCAAGAGCCUUGUUGACAUUUGCGAUAGUCCUAUUGCUGUAUAUUAUAAUUGCUGCAUGCUGUGGAGGCAUUACUCUUCCAUCAUGCAGAUCAUGAUGGACUCGUGGAUAUUUGGCUUUCAGAAGGCACAUAUUACUACCUUCAUAAAUUUUCUUGCCUUUGCAAUGAGGCCCUCUUCGGAAACAAUCUUCUUGGUACGUUAGCAUAUGUGGCUGGUAGUUGCAAACCAAGGAUUUCUACAUGCUGAAAAUUCCUCCAUUGUUUUCUAUAGCCUGGUACACAUUUUUGUCUCUUCAAUUAGUUCUGUUGAUGCUGGGUUUUCUGUAUAAUGGUUGUAAUUAUUCUAUUACAUAAUCUUUCUCCGUGGUUAUUUAUCUCUUACUUUAGAAUAACUGCUUCUGUACCGAACAGUUGGUUUACUGAGGUUGCAAGUUGUGUUGGGCGCAAUUGUCACUA